UACGGAGGGUGCAAGCGUUGUUCGGAAUCAUUGGGCGUAAAGCGCGUGUAGGCGGCUUGGCAAGUCGGUAGUGAAAUCCCGGGGCCCAACCCCGGAACUGCAUUCGAAACUGCCUCGCUAGAGUCCCGGAGAGGAAGGCGGAAUUCCCGGUGUAGAGGUGAAAUUCGUAGAUAUCGGGAGGAACACCAGCGGCGAAGGCGGCCUUCUGGACGGUGACUGACGCUGAGACGCGAAAGCGUGGGGAGCAAACAGG
This 253-nucleotide ribosomal RNA is filed under the name uncultured bacterium. RNAcentral describes it as "partial 16S ribosomal RNA". It matches the Rfam family "Bacterial small subunit ribosomal RNA", at positions 524 to 776 of the family's 1533-position model. The record is from RNAcentral.